GUGCUCCCUUCAGCAACACAUAUACUAAAAUUGGAACAAUGCAUAGAAGAUUAGUUUGGCCCCUAUGCAAGGAUGACACACAAAUUCGUGAAGCAUUCCAUAUUUGU
Small nuclear RNA from Meriones unguiculatus (Mongolian gerbil), 107 nucleotides. The record is from Ensembl. Lineage: Eukaryota; Metazoa; Chordata; Mammalia; Rodentia; Muridae.